GCGCAUGUAGCUCAGCUGGAUAGAGUACCUGGCUACGAACCAGGCGGUCGGGAGUUCGAAUCUCUCCAUGCGCGCCA
This 77-nucleotide transfer RNA is filed under the name Gammaproteobacteria bacterium. RNAcentral's name for it is "tRNA-Arg". It matches the Rfam family "tRNA". From Rfam's summary of the family: Transfer RNA (tRNA) molecules are approximately 80 nucleotides in length. Their secondary structure includes four short double-helical elements and three loops (D, anti-codon, and T loops). RNAcentral also lists the same sequence under 3 other names. Lineage: Bacteria; Pseudomonadati; Pseudomonadota; Gammaproteobacteria. The record is from RNAcentral.